Molecule: long non-coding RNA, 319 nt
Filed under: Hordeum vulgare
Lineage: Eukaryota; Viridiplantae; Streptophyta; Magnoliopsida; Poales; Poaceae
Description: long non-coding RNA (HVUL_LNC005580)
Source: RNAcentral
AAGGAUGUGCACGGAGAGAGAUGUUACACGCAUUACACAUUUAUCCUCUGGACUCUGAUUAAUAAACCACUAAAAAAAUGAUUGAUGCUUGGUUGAAAGAACCUACUACUACAAUAGUACGUAGUACCAAUCAGCUACUCCUUCCAGGUCGUUGAGCACGCGCGCCCACGUCUUCAGGGAUGCCUGCCUGCCUGCCUGACCCCUUUCACUGCAGAGGAAACUGUAGGCAGGUCAGCGUGGUUCACGGGAAUAGAAUCCUGACGACGACGAGCCAUCCGAGACGGGACAACCUACUCUACUCUGCUCUUUUCAUCAUCGC